Molecule: ribosomal RNA, 496 nt
Filed under: uncultured bacterium
Lineage: Bacteria
Description: partial 16S ribosomal RNA
Rfam family: Bacterial small subunit ribosomal RNA
Source: RNAcentral
GACGAACGCUGGCGGCGUGCCUAAUACAUGCAAGUAGAACGCUGAAGAGAGGAGCUUGCUCUUCUUGGAUGAGUUGCGAACGGGUGAGUAACGCGUAGGUAACCUGCCUUGUAGCGGGGGAUAACUAUUGGAAACGAUAGCUAAUACCGCAUAACAAUGGAUGACACAUGUCAUUUAUUUGAAAGGGGCAAUUGCUCCACUACAAGAUGGACCUGCGUUGUAUUAGCUAGUAGGUUAGGUAAUGGCUCACCUAGGCGACGAUACAUAGCCGACCUGAGAGGGUGAUCGGCCACACUGGGACUGAGACACGGCCCAGACUCCUACGGGAGGCAGCAGUAGGGAAUCUUCGGCAAUGGGGCAAACCUGAACGAGCAACGCCGCGUGAGGGGAGAAGGUUUUCGGAUCGUAAAGCUCUGUUGUAAGUCAAGAACGGGAGUGAGAGUGGAAAGUGCACACUGUGACGGUAGCUUAGCAGAAAGGGACGGCUAACUACGUG